RNAcentral lists this ribosomal RNA (765 nucleotides) under metagenome. Its description in RNAcentral is "bacterial SSU rRNA". It matches the Rfam family "Bacterial small subunit ribosomal RNA", at positions 469 to 1247 of the family's 1533-position model. The record is from RNAcentral.
GUGACGGUACCUGAUGAAUAAGCCCCGGCUAACUAUGUGCCAGCAGCCGCGGUAAUACAUAGGGGGCAAGCGUUAUCCGGAAUUAUUGGGCGUAAAGGGUGCGUAGGUGGUUAGUUAAGUCUUUGGUAUAAGUGCAGCGCUCAACGCUGUGACGCUAAAGAAACUGGCUAACUUGAGUGUAGUAGAGGCAAGUGGAAUUCCAUGUGUAGCGGUAAAAUGCGUAAAUAUAUGGAGGAACACCAGUGGCGAAGGCGGCUUGCUGGGCUACAACUGACACUGAGGCACGAAAGCGUGGGGAGCAAACAGGAUUAGAUACCCUGGUAGUCCACGCCGUAAACGAUGAGUACUAAGUGUUGGAGAAAUUCAGUGCUGUAGUUAACGCAAUAAGUACUCCGCCUGAGUAGUACGUACGCAAGUAUGAAACUCAAAGGAAUUGACGGGACCCCGCACAAGCGGUGGAUCAUGUUGUUUAAUUCGAUGAUACGCGAAGAACCUUACCAGGUCUUGACAUCCCAUGCAAAGCUAUAGAGAUAUAGUGGAGGUUAUCAUGGAGACAGGUGGUGCAUGGUUGUCGUCAGCUCGUGUCGUGAGAUGUUGGGUUAAGUCCCGCAACGAGCGCAACCCUUAUUGCUAGUUACCAUCAUUAAGUUGGGGACUCUAGCGAGACUGCCAGUGAUAAACUGGAGGAAGGUGGGGAUGACGUCAAAUCAUCAUGCCCCUUAUGACCUGGGCUACAAACGUGAUACAAUGGCUGAAACAAAGGGC